UGUGACCUCAAAUCAGGUAGGACUACCCGCUGAACUUAAGCAUAUCAAUAAGCGGAGGAAAAGAAACUAACAAGGAUUCCCCUAGUAACUGCGAGUGAAGCGGGAAAAGCUCAAAUUUAAAAUCUGGCGGUCUUCUGGCUGUCCGAGUUGUAAUCUAGAG
This 160-nucleotide ribosomal RNA is filed under the name Cortinarius alboglobosus. RNAcentral describes it as "partial 28S ribosomal RNA". It matches the Rfam family "Eukaryotic large subunit ribosomal RNA", at positions 1 to 155 of the family's 3401-position model. The record is from RNAcentral. Lineage: Eukaryota; Fungi; Basidiomycota; Agaricomycetes; Agaricales; Cortinariaceae.